AGUCCCUGCAUUGCGCGCGACCCGGCGGCGGGACAGGCUUGCUGCUUCCUCCUCCUCGGCCUCACCAGUGGUGUCUAUGAAUCCCUGAGAUUGGAAAAGGAGGUCAGCACAGAGAAAGGCCUUACCCCACCACUCUCCCGAGAGGCACCAGCAUUUCACCUGCAGCCUCUGGGCUCUGAACCCCACUUUGCAUGAGACCACAUAGUGGGCUGAGUCUGCAGCCACCACGAUGCCUUCAGGAAAUGCUAGAAUUCAUCUAGAGUUCCAGAUUAAC
Molecule: small RNA, 274 nt
Filed under: Pan troglodytes (chimpanzee)
Lineage: Eukaryota; Metazoa; Chordata; Mammalia; Primates; Hominidae
Description: processed transcript
Source: RNAcentral